This 497-nucleotide ribosomal RNA is filed under the name uncultured bacterium. RNAcentral describes it as "partial 16S ribosomal RNA". It matches the Rfam family "Bacterial small subunit ribosomal RNA", at positions 28 to 507 of the family's 1533-position model. The record is from RNAcentral.
GACGAACGCUGGCGGCGUGCCUAAUACAUGCAAGUUGAGCGCUGAAGGUUGGUACUUGUACCAACUGGAUGAGCAGCGAACGGGUGAGUAACGCGUGGGGAAUCUGCCUUUGAGCGGGGGACAACAUUUGGAAACGAAUGCUAAUACCGCAUAAAAACUUUAAACACAAGUUUAAGGUUGGAAAGAUGCAAUUGCAUCACUCAAAGAUGAUCCCGCGUUGUAUUAGCUAGUUGGUGAGGUAAAGGCUCACCAAGGCGAUGAUACAUAGCCGACCUGAGAGGGUGAUCGGCCACAUUGGGACUGAGACACGGCCCAAACUCCUACGGGAGGCAGCAGUAGGGAAUCUUCGGCAAUGGACGAAAGUCUGACCGAGCAACGCCGCGUGAGUGAAGAAGGUUUUCGGAUCGUAAAACUCUGUUGGUAGAGAGGAACGUUGGUGAGAGUGGAAAGCUCAUCAAGUGACGGUAACUACCCAGAAAGGGACGGCUAACUACGUG